This 74-nucleotide transfer RNA is filed under the name Lecanora markjohnstonii. Its description in RNAcentral is "tRNA-Asn". It matches the Rfam family "tRNA". From Rfam's summary of the family: Transfer RNA (tRNA) molecules are approximately 80 nucleotides in length. Their secondary structure includes four short double-helical elements and three loops (D, anti-codon, and T loops). Lineage: Eukaryota; Fungi; Ascomycota; Lecanoromycetes; Lecanorales; Lecanoraceae. The record is from RNAcentral.
GCCUUUAUAGCUCAAUGGUAGAGCGAAAUACUGUUAAUAUUUUGAUGAGUGUUCAAUUCACUUUAAAGGCUUUA